Molecule: ribosomal RNA, 721 nt
Filed under: Curtobacterium sp. R9
Lineage: Bacteria; Bacillati; Actinomycetota; Actinomycetes; Micrococcales; Microbacteriaceae
Also listed under: 1 other name
Description: bacterial SSU rRNA
Rfam family: Bacterial small subunit ribosomal RNA
Source: RNAcentral
CAGACUAGAGUGCGGUAGGGGAGAUUGGAAUUCCUGGUGUAGCGGUGGAAUGCGCAGAUAUCAGGAGGAACACCGAUGGCGAAGGCAGAUCUCUGGGCCGUAACUGACGCUGAGGAGCGAAAGCGUGGGGAGCGAACAGGAUUAGAUACCCUGGUAGUCCACGCCGUAAACGUUGGGCGCUAGAUGUAGGGACCUUUCCACGGUUUCUGUGUCGUAGCUAACGCAUUAAGCGCCCCGCCUGGGGAGUACGGCCGCAAGGCUAAAACUCAAAGGAAUUGACGGGGGCCCGCACAAGCGGCGGAGCAUGCGGAUUAAUUCGAUGCAACGCGAAGAACCUUACCAAGGCUUGACAUACACCGGAAACGGCCAGAGAUGGUCGCCCCCUUGUGGUCGGUGUACAGGUGGUGCAUGGUUGUCGUCAGCUCGUGUCGUGAGAUGUUGGGUUAAGUCCCGCAACGAGCGCAACCCUCGUUCUAUGUUGCCAGCGCGUUAUGGCGGGGACUCAUAGGAGACUGCCGGGGUCAACUCGGAGGAAGGUGGGGAUGACGUCAAAUCAUCAUGCCCCUUAUGUCUUGGGCUUCACGCAUGCUACAAUGGCCGGUACAAAGGGCUGCGAUACCGUAAGGUGGAGCGAAUCCCAAAAAGCCGGUCUCAGUUCGGAUUGAGGUCUGCAACUCGACCUCAUGAAGUCGGAGUCGCUAGUAAUCGCAGAUCAGCAACG